GACGAACGCUGGCGGCGUGCCUAAUACAUGCAAGUUGAGCGCUGAAGGUUGGUACUUGUACCAACUGGAUGAGCAGCGAACGGGUGAGUAACGCGUGGGGAAUCUGCCUUUGAGCGGGGGACAACAUUUGGAAACGAAUGCUAAUACCGCAUAAAAACUUUAAACACAAGUUUUAAGUUUGAAAGAUGCAAUUGCAUCACUCAAAGAUGAUCCCGCGUUGUAUUAGCUAGUUGGUGAGGUAAAGGCUCACCAAGGCGAUGAUACAUAGCCGACCUGAGAGGGUGAUCGGCCACAUUGGGACUGAGACACGGCCCAAACUCCUACGGGAGGCGGCAGUAGGGAAUCUUCGGCAAUGGACGAAAGUCUGACCGAGCAACGCCGCGUGAGUGAAGAAGGUUGUCGGAUCGUAAAACUCUGUUGGUAGAGAAGAACGUUGGUGAGAGUGGAAAGCUCAUCAAGUGACGGUAACUACCCAGAAAGGGACGGCUAACUACGUG
This 497-nucleotide ribosomal RNA is filed under the name uncultured bacterium. Its description in RNAcentral is "partial 16S ribosomal RNA". It matches the Rfam family "Bacterial small subunit ribosomal RNA", at positions 28 to 507 of the family's 1533-position model. The record is from RNAcentral.